Molecule: long non-coding RNA, 1653 nt
Filed under: Anas platyrhynchos platyrhynchos (common mallard)
Lineage: Eukaryota; Metazoa; Chordata; Aves; Anseriformes; Anatidae
Description: lncRNA (ENSAPLG00000020192.1)
Source: RNAcentral
CACCCUGGUCGCCCACGCUCCUGGUCACCCACAGUCCCUAGGGGCAGCUUUUGAACGGCCGGGGAGGGGAUGCUGCUGGCUCUGCCUACGCCUCGUCAGCCUCCCUCAUGAGGGCUGCCGGGUCCUGGUGGCUCCCUCAAGUAGACUUGAUGCUGGAAAAAUCAGCCCUGCCUGGCCUGGUCCCCCGCUCCGCUGCAGAACACGUCUACCCCGGAGCCGACCACCUUGGCAAAAUGCAGUCACAGUAUCCCUCUGGACAAGUAGUGUCCAAUUGUGACAUGAACAGCCUCAAGACUGUGCUAUUACAGGCAGCGGUGCUUGCUUCAGUGAACUAGGAAAGUACAGAGAUGAGCGUGAUUUGCUUUGUUUGUUUGUUCUUCUACUCCAGCUGGAUUAAGUUAAAUUAUUCUCAUCUCAGUGACUUGCUACAGACAUAAAAGAACUGUGGUUCUUACUCCAGUGAGAAACAAGAACAUUACCUCUGCUCCAGGCUCUCACUUUUUUUCUCCUAUGCAUAGCGUGUUCCUCCAAUGUUUGGUAGUUAAGUGCAUCAUAAAGUUUUCAUGCUCUGCAGUGGGUAUAUUCAUAUGUAAAACUACUACUAUGCUUGUCAUGAAAUUGUAAUAGGACACAGCAUUUACCGCAGCUGUGGACUUUUUCCCAGCCAUCUGAAUCUCCAGGUGCGCCCUUGAGUUGACAAUAACAAGGUGAUGUGCUAUUGUUAUGUCUUUUUACUGUAUUUUCUAAUCUCACUAUCUGGGAAAAUUAUCGUAUAGGUAGGAAUUAAUAUAGAUAAUUGUUCCUACCUUUUGUAAAAUUUAUGUGGUUUUACAUGUUAGGAGUUUGAUGUGAAAAAGUAUAAAGUGUAUGAUGUGAAAAGGUAUAAAGAAUAGGAAUACAGAUGAUAGAUACAGCUCUGUUAACUUUAUGGAUUAAAAUGGUAAAUUUACAGGCAAGUAAUAAGAUCUUUUAUAGUUCAUAUUAAUAAUAAUAUUCUAUAAAAUUCUAAGCAAAGCUUUUAUAUCAUUGAACUGAGUUUCUGGCUGCUUAGUUAUGUCUAUAUUAGUAUAAAUAAUAAUAGCCUGUAAUUAGAACACUUACAUUUUCAAGAAGGAGAAGAGUGAAAAAUGUCAUAACUUUUCUGCCUUAUGGAAAACUUGGAUAUUUUUAACUGGGAAAAAACAAACAAACAAACACACAAAACAAACAAACAACAACAACAACAACAAAAAACAACAUGCAAUUCCAUUAUCUUAGUUAAUGUAUUUCAGUGCAAAAUAGUCAUCAACAGUGAAUUUCACCUUAUACAGAAGAUGAGUAGAAAGCCCUUUAUUGCCACUCUGUUUUUAAUAUAGUUGGAGGAGGAAGGCAGGCAAAAGGAAUCUUGUGUUGUGUUUAGGACUGUAGCUAUCCCCUCUUUGCUACAUCUGUGGAGUUGUUGCUUUUGGCAUCACAGCUGUAUGGACUCCUGCUGCCACUUUUUGAGGUCCUCCAGAGAAUAUUUGGGCUAUUCUACUUCAUUCCAUUGCUCAGUGGCUUCCAAAUCCAAUCAUUUUGUAGGAAUAGCUACAUAGGAUUUUUAUCUUCACAGGUGGUUAUUUACGGGAUGUUAUAUCUAAUAAACUCUAAAAUAGAAAAAAAAAAAAAUUAAUU